RNAcentral lists this ribosomal RNA (320 nucleotides) under uncultured bacterium. Its description in RNAcentral is "bacterial SSU rRNA". It matches the Rfam family "Bacterial small subunit ribosomal RNA", at positions 1045 to 1366 of the family's 1533-position model. The record is from RNAcentral.
AUGGCUGUCGUCAGCUCGUGUCGUGAGAUGUUGGGUUAAGUCCCGCAACGAGCGCAACCCUUGUCGUUAGUURCUACCAUUAAGUUGAGCACUCUAGCGAGACUGCCUGGGUUAACCAGGAGGAAGGUGGGGAUGACGUCAAAUCAUCAUGCCCCUUAUGUGUAGGGCUACACACGUGCUACAAUGGCUGGUACAGAGAGAUGCAAUACCGUGAGGUGGAGCCAAACUUAAAAACCAGUCUCAGUUCGGAUUGUAGGCUGAAACUCGCCUACAUGAAGCUGGAGUUGACUAGUAAUCGCGAAUCAGAAUGUCGCGGUGAA